CACAAAAUCGAUUAAUAAAGUCACUUAUCCUGGGAGUAAGCUAUACAGAUUAAAAUCCUGUUUUUG
This 66-nucleotide transfer RNA is filed under the name Lophophysema eversa. Its description in RNAcentral is "tRNA-Pro". The record is from RNAcentral. Lineage: Eukaryota; Metazoa; Porifera; Hexactinellida; Amphidiscosida; Hyalonematidae.